RNAcentral lists this ribosomal RNA (244 nucleotides) under uncultured bacterium. Its description in RNAcentral is "partial 16S ribosomal RNA". It matches the Rfam family "Bacterial small subunit ribosomal RNA", at positions 524 to 770 of the family's 1533-position model. The record is from RNAcentral.
UACGAAGGGGCUAGCGUUGCUCGGAAUUACUGGCGUAAAGCGCACGUAGGCGGAUCUUUAAGUCAGGGUGAAAUCCUGGAGCUCAACUCCAGAACUGCCUUUGAUACUGAGGACCUUGAGUUCGGGAGAGGUGAGUGGAACUGCGAGUGUAGAGGUGAAAUUCGUAGAUAUUCGCAAGAACACCAGUGGCGAAGGCGGACUCACUGGCCCGAUACUGACGCUGAGGUGCGAAAGCGUGGGAGCA